UAUAUAAAACUAUCCACUUUCAUAUUGUAAAGAUAAAAAUUGUCCACUAAGAUAAAAAUGAUAAAAACUGUCCACUUUUUGAUUGAAAAGACAAAAAUACCCUCCUUUAAAUAUAUGCUCUCUCUCUCCACUCUCUUUCUCUCUCUUCUCCCUCACGGCCCUUCCCCCUUCUCUCUCUCUCUCCCUCCCUCCCUCCCUUCGAUCUCAGAUCGCCGCCUCUGCCUCGUCGCCUCCGCCAUCUCCUGGUUCGCCCCCCGCCGCGAAGCGCCGCUGCCCCCGGCCUCGUCGCCUCUGCCAUCUUCUACUUCAACCCCCGCCGAGAAGCGCCGCCGCCCAGGCCUCGGCGCGAGCGAGCCUGCCGCUGCUUGAGCUACCUCCGUUCUAGGGCUUCUGGUGUCAGAAUUGAGCCACACCUCCGCGAGCGAGCCUGCCGCUGCUCGCGCUACCGCCGCGCCAAUCGAUCGAGCGCCGCCUGAAAUUCCUGGCGAGGCAGCUCCUCCAGCGAAGUCGUCGUUGACUGCCGUCGUUCUCCCUCUUUCUCAUCUCUUCCGGCGACCACAGCUCCUGCUACAGCCGCCGCUCUCAACAAUUCUCCCUCUCUGCUCGAGCUCCAGCGCCUGAGCCCUAGCUCCCCCAAAUCCAAUCGCCCUCACCCCUACUCUUAUCUCUCUCCGUCUAUGGCCGAACGGCAACGGCAGCGCCGCCGCGUCCUGGCCUCCCUCUGCUCUCUCAACCUCCAGCACCUACAACUGCUCUAGAUCCUCUCCACCCGAUCCAGAGGUUAUCUGGCCUCGACUUGAUUUGUUGGGAUGAUUGGAUCUGUUCUUGAGAUGUUGUGCUUUGGUUUGGAUGAGUAAUAGUGUAAGGGCAGAGUAGAAUUUGAGACAUAUGUGAAUGAUUUAAGAUCUGUUGAGAUUGUUGAUUGGGAGGUUGAAUGCUGAGAUUGUGGAUUCGAAGGAAUUGUUGUAUUUUGAUUGUAGAUUGAAUUGAUUCGGAUAAUAUUUUGUUGUAUUUUGAUUGUUGAUUUAGAGGAAUUGAUGUAUUUUGAUGGUA
Long non-coding RNA from Salvia miltiorrhiza (redroot sage), 1053 nucleotides. RefSeq lists it as uncharacterized. The record is from RefSeq and is a predicted model, not a curated record. Lineage: Eukaryota; Viridiplantae; Streptophyta; Magnoliopsida; Lamiales; Lamiaceae. The transcript is spliced from 2 exons.